GGUUAAGCGACUAAGCGUACACGGUGGAUGCCCUGGCAGUCAGAGGCGAUGAAGGGCGUGCUAAUCUGCGAUAAGCGCCGGUAAGGUGAUAUGAACCGUUAUAACCGGCGAUACCCGAAUGGGGAAACCCAGUGUGAUUCGUCACACUAUCAUUAACUGAAUCCAUAGGUUAAUGAGGCGAACCGGGGGAACUGAAACAUCUAAGUACCCCGAGGAAAAGAAAUCAACCGAGAUUCCCCCAGUAGCGGCGAGCGAACGGGGAGGAGCCCAGAGCCUGAAUCAGCAUGUGUGUUAGUGGAAGCGUCUGGAAAGGCGCGCGAUACAGGGUGACAGCCCCGUACACAAAAGCGCAUGUGCUGUGAGCUCGAUGAGUAGGGCGGGACACGUGGUAUCCUGUCUGAAUAUGGGGGGACCAUCCUCCAAGGCUAAAUACUCCUGACUGACCGAUAGUGAACCAGUACCGUGAGGGAAAGGCGAAAAGAACCCCGGCGAGGGGAGUGAAAAAGAACCUGAAACCGUGUACGUACAAGCAGUGGGAGCCCCACCACUAAGCCAGUGGUGAACUCCACAUACGCAUCCUUUGCUGAGGAUACGGUUAACGGAGCGAAAGCGACGUUCAACCGCAAAACAAGCAGAGGGGGCUUAGUGGUGGGGUGACUGCGUACCUUUUGUAUAAUGGGUCAGCGACUUAUAUUCUGUAGCAAGGUUAACCGAAUAGGGGAGCCGUAGGGAAACCGAGUCUUAACCGGGCGUUAAGUUGCAGGGUAUAGACCCGAAACCCGGUGAUCUAGCCAUGGGCAGGUUGAAGGUUGGGUAACACUAACUGGAGGACCGAACCGACUAAUGUUGAAAAAUUAGCGGAUGACCUGUGGCUGGGGGUGAAAGGCCAAUCAAACCGGGAGAUAGCUGGUUCUCCCCGAAAGCUAUUUAGGUAGCGCCUCGUGAAUUCAUCUCCGGGGGUAGAGCACUGUUUCGGCUAGGGGGCCAUCCCGGCUUACCAACCCGAUGCAAACUGCGAAUACCGGAGAAUGUUAUCACGGGAGACACACGGCGGGUGCUAACGUCCGUCGUGAAGAGGGAAACAACCCAGACCGCCAGCUAAGGUCCCAAAGUCAUGGUUAAGUGGGAAACGAUGUGGGAAGGCCCAGACAGCCAGGAUGUUGGCUUAGAAGCAGCCAUCAUUUAAAGAAAGCGUAAUAGCUCACUGGUCGAGUCGGCCUGCGCGGAAGAUGUAACGGGGCUAAACCAUGCACCGAAGCUGCGGCAGCGAACGUAUCACUUAAAGCGAUUCAGCGGGUUACGAUUGACGGAGCGAAGCGACGUCAAAGCGUAUACAAAGUCGAGUCGGUUUAAGGAUACGUUCGUUGGGUAGGGGAGCGUUCUGUAAGCCUGCGAAGGUGGCCUGUGAGGGUUGCUGGAGGUAUCAGAAGUGCGAAUGCUGACAUAAGUAACGAUAAAGCGGGUGAAAAGCCCGCUCGCCGGAAGACCAAGGGUUCCUGUCCAACGUUAAUCGGGGCAGGGUGAGUCGACCCCUAAGGCGAGGCCGAAAGGCGUAGUCGAUGGGAAACGGGUUAAUAUUCCCGUACUUGGUGUUACUGCGAAGGGGGGACGGAGAAGGCUAUGUUGGCCGGGCGACGGUUGUCCCGGUUUAAGCGUGUAGGUGUGUGUUCCAGGUAAAUCCGGUUCACUUUAACACUGAGGCGUGAUGACGAGGCACUACGGUGCUGAAGCAACAAAUGCCCUGCUUCCAGGAAAAGCCUCUAAGCAUCAGGUAACAUCAAAUCGUACCCCAAACCGACACAGGUGGUCAGGUAGAGAAUACCAAGGCGCUUGAGAGAACUCGGGUGAAGGAACUAGGCAAAAUGGUGCCGUAACUUCGGGAGAAGGCACGCUGACACGUAGGUGAAGUGAUUUACUCAUGGAGCUGAAGUCAGUCGAAGAUACCAGCUGGCUGCAACUGUUUAUUAAAAACACAGCACUGUGCAAACACGAAAGUGGACGUAUACGGUGUGACGCCUGCCCGGUGCCGGAAGGUUAAUUGAUGGGGUCAGCGCAAGCGAAGCUCCUGAUCGAAGCCCCGGUAAACGGCGGCCGUAACUAUAACGGUCCUAAGGUAGCGAAAUUCCUUGUCGGGUAAGUUCCGACCUGCACGAAUGGCGUAAUGAUGGCCAGGCUGUCUCCACCCGAGACUCAGUGAAAUUGAACUCGCUGUGAAGAUGCAGUGUACCCGCGGCAAGACGGAAAGACCCCGUGAACCUUUACUAUAGCUUGACACUGAACAUUGAGCCUUGAUGUGUAGGAUAGGUGGGAGGCUUUGAAGUGUGGACGCCAGUCUGCAUGGAGCCGACCUUGAAAUACCACCCUUUAAUGUUUGAUGUUCUAACGUGGACCCGUAAUCCGGGUUGCGGACAGUGUCUGGUGGGUAGUUUGACUGGGGCGGUCUCCUCCUAAAGAGUAACGGAGGAGCACGAAGGUUGGCUAAUCCUGGUCGGACAUCAGGAGGUUAGUGCAAUGGCAUAAGCCAGCUUGACUGCGAGCGUGACGGCGCGAGCAGGUGCGAAAGCAGGUCAUAGUGAUCCGGUGGUUCUGAAUGGAAGGGCCAUCGCUCAACGGAUAAAAGGUACUCCGGGGAUAACAGGCUGAUACCGCCCAAGAGUUCAUAUCGACGGCGGUGUUUGGCACCUCGAUGUCGGCUCAUCACAUCCUGGGGCUGAAGUAGGUCCCAAGGGUAUGGCUGUUCGCCAUUUAAAGUGGUACGCGAGCUGGGUUUAGAACGUCGUGAGACAGUUCGGUCCCUAUCUGCCGUGGGCGCUGGAGAACUGAGGGGGGCUGCUCCUAGUACGAGAGGACCGGAGUGGACGCAUCACUGGUGUUCGGGUUGUCAUGCCAAUGGCACUGCCCGGUAGCUAAAUGCGGAAGAGAUAAGUGCUGAAAGCAUCUAAGCACGAAACUUGCCCCGAGAUGAGUUCUCCCUGAGACUUAGAGUCUCCUGAAGGAACGUUGAAGACGACGACGUUGAUAGGCCGGGUGUGUAAGCGCAGCGAUGCGUUGAGCUAACCGGUACUAAUGAACCGUGAGGCUUAACCUU
This 3088-nucleotide ribosomal RNA is filed under the name Salmonella enterica subsp. enterica serovar Anatum. RNAcentral's name for it is "23S ribosomal RNA". It matches the Rfam family "Bacterial large subunit ribosomal RNA". The record is from RNAcentral. RNAcentral also lists the same sequence under 1 other name. Lineage: Bacteria; Pseudomonadati; Pseudomonadota; Gammaproteobacteria; Enterobacterales; Enterobacteriaceae.